RNAcentral lists this ribosomal RNA (407 nucleotides) under Macrophyllida sp. EMP-2009. RNAcentral describes it as "eukaryotic LSU rRNA". It matches the Rfam family "Eukaryotic large subunit ribosomal RNA", at positions 64 to 440 of the family's 3401-position model. The record is from RNAcentral. Lineage: Eukaryota; Metazoa; Platyhelminthes; Monogenea; Capsalidea; Capsalidae.
ACUAACAGGAUUCUCUUAGUAACGGCGAGUGAAAAGAGAUUAGCCCAACAUCGAAGCUUACAUACAUUUUGUACGUCAAGCCAUGUGAUGUUAAGGGGUUCGCUAUCGCAGACUGACCGACUUGAAGUCCAAUUUUGAAUGUGGCAAUUUGUGUAAACCCAUAGAUGGUGAAAGGCCCGUUCAGGUUGGUUAUUAGAUGAGACAGUACUGUGUGUUCGCGUUCCUCUAAGAGUCGGAUUGCUUGUGAAUGCAGUCCAAAGUUGGUGGUAAACUCCAUCAAAGGCUAAAUACCUGUACGAGUCCGAUAGUUAACAAGUACCGUGAGGGAAAGUUGAAAAGUACUCUGAAGAGAGAGUAAACAGUACGUGAAACUACUUGGAGGUUAACCAGAUAGAGUCAAGCUGCUU